RNAcentral lists this ribosomal RNA (486 nucleotides) under uncultured bacterium. Its description in RNAcentral is "partial 16S ribosomal RNA". It matches the Rfam family "Bacterial small subunit ribosomal RNA", at positions 28 to 507 of the family's 1533-position model. The record is from RNAcentral.
GACGAACGCUGGCGGCGUGCUUAACACAUGCAAGUCGAACGGGAUCCAAAGGCUUUUUGUUUUUGGUGAGAGUGGCGAACGGGUGAGUAACACGUGAGUAACCUGCCCCCUUCUUUUGGAUAACCGCAUGAAAGUGUGGCUAAUACAGGAUAUUCCAGGCUGGUCGCAUGAUUGGUUUGGGAAAUGGUUUGGUCUGGUGGGGGAUGGGCUCGCGGCCUAUCAGCUUGUUGGUGGGGUGAUGGCCUACCAAGGCGGGGACGGGUGGCCGGCCUGGGAGGGGGGCCGGGCACACUGGGACUGAGAUACGGCCCAGACUCCUACGGGAGGCAGCAGUGGGGGAUUUUGCACAAUGGGCGCAAGCCUGAUGCAGCGACGCCGCGUGAGGGAUGAAGGCCUUCGGGUUGUAAACCUCUUUCGCUGGGUUGAAAGGCCAUGCUUUGGGUGUGGUUGAUUUGAACUGGUAAAGAAGUACCGGCUAACUACGUG